GCACGGAAGGUCCAACGACUGUCCAGGAUGAGGCC
Molecule: small RNA, 35 nt
Filed under: Bombyx mori (domestic silkworm)
Lineage: Eukaryota; Metazoa; Arthropoda; Insecta; Lepidoptera; Bombycidae
Description: ovarian small RNA-5248
Source: RNAcentral